AGUUUGAUCAUGGCUCGGAUUGAACGCUGGCGGGAUGCUUUACAUGCAAGUCGAACGGCAGCACGGACUUCGGUCUGGUGGCGAGUGGCGAACAGGUGAGUAAUGUAUCGGAACGUGCUAGUAGCGGGGGAUAACUACGCGAGGCUGGCUAAUACCACAUACGCCCUUCGAGGAAAACAGGGGACCUUCAGGCCUCAGCACUCGUGGAAGCAGCCGAUAUCGGAUUAGCUAGUUGGUGGGGUAACGGCUCGCAAGGCGACGAUCCGUAGCUGGUUUGAGACGUGAAAGCCACGCUGGGACUGAGACGGCCCAGACUCCUACGGGGAGGCGGCGGUGGGGGAAUUUUGGACAAUGAAACCAGGUCAGCCAUCCCGCGUAUUACGUGUUGAAGGCCUUCGGGUUGUAAAGCACCUGGCGGAAAGAAGCGGCGCAGGAUAAUAUCCCGUGCAACUGACUGACCUGCAGAAUAAGCACCGGCCUUCCACGUGCCAGCAGCCCGCGGUAAUACGUAGGGUGCAAGCGUUAAUCGGAAUUACUGGGGCGCUAAAGCGUGCACCCGACGGUUCGGAAAAAGAUGUGAAAUCCGGAGCUUAACUUUAGAACACCAUUUUAACUACCGAGCUAGAGUGUGUCAGAGGGAGGUGGAAUUCCGCAUGUAGCAGUGAAAUGCGUAGAUAUGCGGAGGAACACCGAUAGCGAAGGCGGCCUCCUGGGGAUAACACUGACGCUCAUGCACAAAAGCGUGGGGAGCAAACAGGAUUAGAUACCCUGGUAGUCCACGCCCUAAACGAUGUCAACUAGCUGUUGGGGCCUUCUGGCCUUGGUAUGCAACCCAACGCGUGAAGUUGACCGCCUGGGGUACGGUCGCAAGAUUUAAAAACUCAAAGGAAUUGACGGGACCGCCUAAGCGGUGGAUGAUGUGGAUUAAUUCGAUGCAACGCGAAAACCCACUACCCUUUGACUGUCUGAUCCCGAAGAGAUUUGGGAGUGCUCGCAAGAGAACCGGAACACAGGUGCUGCAUGGCUGUCGUCAGCUCGUGUCGUGGAAGAUGUUAGGUUGAUCCUGGCAUGAAGCGCAGCCACUUGUCAUUGAUUGCUACGAAAGGGCACUCAUGAGACUGCCGGUGACAAACCGGAGGAAGGUGGGGAUGACGUCAAGUCCUCAUGGCCCUUAUGGGUAGGGCUUCACGCAUCUUGCAGCUGGAUGGGACAUGGUCGCCAACCCGCGAGAGAGUCAAUCCCAAGGCCCGAUCGUAGUCCGGAUCAUGAUCUGCAACUCUGACUACGUGAAGUCGGGAUCGUGCUAGUAAUCGCGGAUCGUAUGUCGCGGUGAAUACGUUCCCGGGUCUUGUACACACCGCCCGUGCUACCAUGGGAAUUGGGUUUUACCAGAAAUGAUUAGCCCUAUUCGUAAGGAGGCGAUUACCACGGUAGGAUUCAUGACUGGGGUGAAAUUAACAAGGUA
This 1465-nucleotide ribosomal RNA is filed under the name uncultured Bordetella sp. RNAcentral's name for it is "partial 16S-23S ribosomal RNA intergenic spacer". It matches the Rfam family "Bacterial small subunit ribosomal RNA". Lineage: Bacteria; Pseudomonadati; Pseudomonadota; Betaproteobacteria; Burkholderiales; Alcaligenaceae. The record is from RNAcentral.